GGCUUCAUGAGUAAGAUAAGUGUAGAUCGCUACUGCUGCUGCUGCGAUUGCUGUUGCUGUGAUGGCACAGGCGUUCCCUUCAUUCUCCUUAAGUCUGCCGAAUGUUGACAGAUCAGCGAAGACUACCGCGGUAAGACUACCGCGGUGAGGAAGAUGAGGAUUGACCAUGGAGCCUCUUAGGAAUGCAACGGCGUUGGUCGCUGGCCGAAGGGUGAAGCUUCACUUUUCUCAGCGACGUUGGUCAUGGUUGCGAUUACGACGG
Molecule: long non-coding RNA, 262 nt
Filed under: Musa acuminata (dwarf banana)
Lineage: Eukaryota; Viridiplantae; Streptophyta; Magnoliopsida; Zingiberales; Musaceae
Description: long non-coding RNA (MACU_LNC000631)
Source: RNAcentral